GCAGUGGUGGUUCACUGGUAGAAUUCUCGCCUGCCAUGCGGGAGACCCGGGUCCGAUUCCUGGCCAACGCA
RNAcentral lists this transfer RNA (71 nucleotides) under Danio rerio (zebrafish). It matches the Rfam family "tRNA". Rfam says of the family: Transfer RNA (tRNA) molecules are approximately 80 nucleotides in length. Their secondary structure includes four short double-helical elements and three loops (D, anti-codon, and T loops). The record is from Rfam by way of RNAcentral. Lineage: Eukaryota; Metazoa; Chordata; Actinopteri; Cypriniformes; Danionidae.